RNAcentral lists this ribosomal RNA (1236 nucleotides) under metagenome. RNAcentral describes it as "bacterial LSU rRNA". It matches the Rfam family "Bacterial large subunit ribosomal RNA", at positions 1564 to 2808 of the family's 2925-position model. The record is from RNAcentral.
UGAGUACGAGAUGCUACGGCAUCGAAGCAGUCUAUGUCAUACUUCCAAGAAAAGCUUGCAAUGUCAUAAACAAAUAAUGCCUGUACCAUAACCGACACAGGUGGGUAGGUAGAGUAUACUAAGGGGCGCGAGAUAACUCUCUCUAAGGAACUCGGCAAAAUGACUCCGUAACUUCGGGAGAAGGAGUGCCUUAUUUUUAUAAGGUUGCAAUAACAAGAUCCAAGCAACUGUUUACCAAAAACACAGGUCUCCGCUAAGUCGUAAGACGAUGUAUGGGGGCUUACGCCUGCCCAGUGCCAGAAGGUUAAAGAAGUUGGUUAGCAUUAGCGAAGCUGAUAACUGAAGCCCUGGUGAACGGCGGCCGCAACAAUAACGGUCCUAAGGUAGCGAAAUUCCUUGUCGGGUAAGUUCCGACCCGCACGAAAGGCGUAAUGAUUUGGAUACUGUCUCGGAGAGGGGCUCGGUGAAAUAGACUUGUCUGUGAAGAUGCGGACUACCUGCACCUGGACAGAAAGACCCUAUGAAGCUUUACUGUAACUUGAGAUUAAAAUUGGACUUUAUCUGCGCAGUAUAGGUGGGAGACGUUGAAAAUAUUCUUGCGGGAAUAUUGGAGUCAUCAGUGAGAUACCACUCUUAUAAUGUUAGAUUUCUAACUUUGUAUCAUUAUCUGGUCAAAGAACAGUUUCAGGCGGGCAGUUUGACUGGGGCGGUCGCCUCCCAAACGGUAACGGAGGCGCACAAAGGUUUCCUCUGAACGUGUAGAAAUCGUAUCUAGAGUGUAAAGGCAUAAGGAAGCUUGACUGUGAGACCUACAAGUCGAGCAGGGACGAAAGUCGGUCUUAGUGAUCUGACGGUGCUGAGUGGAAAGGCCGUCACUCAACGGAUAAAAGUUACUCUAGGAUAACAGGCUGAUCUCCCCCAAGAGUUCACAUCGACGGGGAGGUUUGGCACCUCGAUGUCGGCUCAUCGCAUCCUGGGGCGGUAGUACGUCCCAAGGGUUGGGCUGUUCGCCCAUGAAAGCGGUACGCGAGCUGGGUUCAGAACGUCGUGAGACAGUUCGGUCCAUAUCCGGUGUAGGCGUUAGAAUAUUGAGAGGAGCCUUCUUUAGUACGAGAGGACCGAGAAGGACAUACCUCUGGUGUACCAGUUAUCGUGCCAACGGUAAACGCUGGGUAGCCAUGUAUGGAGAGGAUAACCGCUGAAAGCAUGUAAGUGGGAAGCCCACCUCAAGAUAAG